RNAcentral lists this non-coding RNA (23 nucleotides) under Gallus gallus (chicken). The record is from RNAcentral. RNAcentral also lists the same sequence under 1 other name. Lineage: Eukaryota; Metazoa; Chordata; Aves; Galliformes; Phasianidae.
UAACAGUCUACAGCCAUGGUCGU